GGAAUAUUGGACAAUGGGGGGAACCCUGAUCCAGCCAUGCCGCGUGUGUGAAGAAGGCCUUUUGGUUGUAAAGCACUUUAAGCGAGGAGGAGGCUCCCAGUAUUAAUACUACUGGAGAGUGGACGUUACUCGCAGAAUAAGCACCGGCUAACUCUGUGCCAGCAGCCGCGGUAAUACAGAGGGUGCAAGCGUUAAUCGGAUUUACUGGGCGUAAAGCGUGCGUAGGUGGCCAAUUAAGUCAAAUGUGAAAUCCCCGAGCUUAACUUGGGAAUUGCAUUCGAUACUGGUUGGCUAGAGUAUGGGAGAGGAUGGUAGAAUUCCAGGUGUAGCGGUGAAAUGCGUAGAGAUCUGGAGGAAUACCGAUGGCGAAGGCAGCCAUCUGGCCUAAUACUGACACUGAGGUACGAAAGCAUGGGGAGCAAACAGGAUUAGAUACCCUGG
This 441-nucleotide ribosomal RNA is filed under the name uncultured Acinetobacter sp. RNAcentral describes it as "bacterial SSU rRNA". It matches the Rfam family "Bacterial small subunit ribosomal RNA", at positions 358 to 790 of the family's 1533-position model. Lineage: Bacteria; Pseudomonadati; Pseudomonadota; Gammaproteobacteria; Moraxellales; Moraxellaceae. The record is from RNAcentral.